RNAcentral lists this ribosomal RNA (515 nucleotides) under uncultured bacterium. RNAcentral's name for it is "partial 16S ribosomal RNA". It matches the Rfam family "Bacterial small subunit ribosomal RNA", at positions 28 to 523 of the family's 1533-position model. The record is from RNAcentral.
GAUGAACGCUAGCGGCGUGCCUAAUACAUGCAAGUCGAGCGAAUGGAUUAAGAGCUCGCUCUUAUGAAGUUAGCGGCAGACGGGUGAGUAACACGUGGGUAACCUGCCCAUAAGACUGGGAUAACUCCGGGAAACCGGGGCUAAUACCGGAUAACAUUUUGAACCGCAUGGUUCGAAAUUGAAAGGCGGCUUCGGCUGUCACUUAUGGAUGGGCCCGCGUCGCAUUAGCUAGUUGGUGAGGUAACGGCUCACCAAGGCAACGAUGCGUAGCCGACAUGGAAGGGUGAUCGGCCACACUGGGACUGAGACACGGCCCAGACUCCUACGGGGGGCAGCAGUAGGGAAUCUUCCGCAAUGGACGAAAGUCUGACGGAGCAACGCCGCGUGAGUGAUGAAGGCUUUCGGGUCGUAAAACUCUGUUGUUAGGGAAGAACAAGUGCUAGUUGAAUAAGCUGGCACCUUGACGGUACCUAACCAGAAAGCCACGGCUAACUACGUGCCAGCCGCCGCGGUAA